Pelobates cultripes (western spadefoot toad) is the source of this 322-nucleotide non-coding RNA. The record is from the annotation of a GenBank genome assembly. Lineage: Eukaryota; Metazoa; Chordata; Amphibia; Anura; Pelobatidae.
CUGAUCUUGAAAUCCAUGUGUUUUUAGAUGUUCAACAAUCCUAUCCUUUAACAUGGUUUCCAUUACUUUCCCCACUACUGAUGUAAGGCUUAUUGGCCUAUAGUUGCCUGACUCCUCCCUACUACCUUUCUUGUGAAUGGGCACAACAUUAGCUAUCUUCCAAUCUUCUGGGACUACUCCUGUUAACAAUGAUUGGUCAAAUAAAUUUGUUAAUGGUUUUGCUAGUACACCACUAAGCUCUUUUAAUAACUUUGGGUGUAUUCCAUCAGGUCCCAUUGACUUAUUUGUCUUUACUUUUGACAGUUGAAAUAGAACCUUUUCC